Long non-coding RNA from Carassius auratus (goldfish), 4345 nucleotides. The record is from Ensembl. Lineage: Eukaryota; Metazoa; Chordata; Actinopteri; Cypriniformes; Cyprinidae.
AUGUCCGCUCGAGUUUAUUUCUUGUUUGCUGUUUUAUCGUGUGUGUUUGGAUACCUGAACACAACUCGCACCAUUCAAAGACAAAGCACAGGGAAGCCGGGUCAGUGUCCCAUACCGGAGAUGAUUCCACUGUGGGCUGAAAGCUGUUUCAAUGAUGGACACUGUCCGGCCACACAGAAGUGUUGCCCAACCACCAGUGGCUUUGCAUGCAGUGAACCACGUGGUCCAGUACAGGGCAGCGGACCAGACCAGGGAAGCCGGCAGGGACAGCGUAGAAGACGAGGCCAGGCUAGCGGACAGGGCAGUGGACCAGGACAGGGAAGCGGACCAGGUAAGGGAAGUGGACAGGCUAGUGGCCACGGACCGGGACAGGGUAAGGGAAGCGGACAGGCUAGUGGCCACGGACCGGGUAAGGGAAGCGGACAGGCUAGUGGCCACGGACCGGGUAAGGGAAGCGGACAGGCUAGUGGCCACGGACCGGGACCGGCUAAGGGAAGCGGACAGGCUAGCGGCCACGGACCGGGACAGGGUAAGGGAAGCGGACAGGCAAGCAGCCACGGACCGGGACAGGGUAAGGGAAGCGGACAGGCUAGCGGCCACGGACCGGGACAGGGUAAGGGAAGCGGACAGGCUAGCGGCCACGGACCGGGACAGGGUAAGGGAAGCGGACAGGCUAGCGGCCACGGACCGGGACAGGGUAAGGGAAGCGGACAGGCUAGCGGCCACGGACCGGGACAGGGUAAGGGAAGCGGACAGGCUAGCGGCCACGGACCGGGACAGGGUAAGGGAAGCGGACAGGCUAGCGGCCACGGACCGGGACAGGGUAAGGGAAGCGGACAGGCUAGCGGCUACGGACAGGGAAGCGGACAGGGUAAGGGAAGUGGACAGGCUAGCGGACAGAGUAAGGGAAGUGGACUGGGCCAGGCUAGCGGCCACGGACAGGGCCAGGCUAGCGGCCACGAACUGGGACAGGUCAAGGGAAGUGGACUGGGACAGGUUAGUGGACUGGGCCAGGGAAGUGGACGGGCUAGUGGACAGUCUAGCUACUGGAGAGGGGGUCAGGAACCGUGGUGCCCGUGGCAAUAUGGACCAUGGUGCAGAUGGGGACCGUGGUGGUAGCUGGCCAGGGGAUUGUUCAGUUAAAUUGUCAGGGCGUGGUCAUUGAAAUGGUCAUGGGGAUUUUGCCUAACACCUACUGGAGAUCUCUCUAAUUCCGUGAUCUUCAUAUGGCAUGUUAUCCCUGUUUGCUCAACCUUUUUGAUUUUCUGCCUCUCCUCAACCACCUUAAAUAAAAAUUGCUUUAUUGAAGAGAUGGGGUCUUUUGGUUUGAUUUGGCUGUUUUCUCACAUACUUCCUUUCUGGCAUCACUGCAUUAAGUUCCUCUCCCUGGGGCCUGUUCUUCGUACGUUGCUGACUCCAUUAGCUGGAUUUGAAUGUUGACGAUUUGGCGUGCUCCUAGAUCAUUUGGUUCUUCGAGGCUCAUCCCAGAGCUGCUGUCAUAGCAACAAGUCCGUAAACUUAAACCUGCUCUGCAGCAGGCUUAUUUAAUGUAAACUGGAUUAGAUUGCUGCUUUUCAACCAGAACUGAUACUCAAAAUAUGACUGUUACUUUUAUUACAAGAGUAUCGUACUGAUCCAGGGACAAUAAUUUAAAAUUAAAAAAAUAUAAAAAUGUUGUGUAGUCCAUAACAGCCUACUAUAGACACAGCCAGAUUUCCUCACUGAAAUAUUUAUUUUUCAUAAAAUUAUUCAGAAUUAUUUCAUGAUUGUAUUAGUCUUACACACGCGAUACAGCUAAUAGAGUCGUGCAUUAUUUUGAGUGAUGACUGCUAUUAUAAGAGUGGCUUGAUGGAGAUGCAGAUAACAUGAAAUUGACCCUUAAGAAACUUUCAUUAAUGCUGUCACGUAACAAGAAGACUGCAUAACUAUUAUAAAUUGGGAAUUGUGAAAAGAAACCCUAAUAAAAUAACAUGUAUCUAUUAUUAGUUUCAUGUAUCUUUUAGAACAUGUAGUUUUGUUUGCUUGGCUGUUUCCUUAUAAAAGUCCAGAAAUUUGUUUUUCGUCGGGUGUCAUUUUAAAUUAUAUGACGUCAUUACAUUGCCGUGUUGCCACCAGCCAAUCGCUGCACUUCUGAUCAUGGUUUCGAGUAUUGAUCCAUAUCCCCUUUAAGCCAACACAUGAACGCGCAAUUAUCUCAGAUAACUCAUGCCAGCGAUACUAAUCAUGCACAACAGGUGUGUUCGAAGAACCCGAUUAGCACGAUGAUAUCAUCUUGGAUGUGUCAUUUUCCUUACGAAAAAUAACCAUGGUUUUAUUAUAGUAAAACUGUAGUAACCCAUGGUUUUUUUGGCGUGUUGACUACCAUUUGUAUAACCACAGAUUUACUACAAAUACCAUGGUUAAACUAUGGUUAAUUUAGCAAAACCAUGGUUAAUUUGUGGUUACCAUGGUUUAACUAUAGUAACCAUGGUUUUUUUGGUUUUAUUUGUAGUAAAACCAUGGUUAAUUUUCAUAAGGGUUGAUCUCGGAUGUAAUAAGCGACGUACGAAGAACGGCCCUGGACAUUUAGCAAAGCAUUGUAUUUCAGAUUGCGUGUGAUGGGGCCCCAACUUGUUUGACAAUUUUCAUGUCAUUGCUCCAAUGUGGGCCAGGCAUCAGGCUUGUUUUAGGCUUCCUCACUUUUUAUAUUUUGGAUAUCAAUUAUUAGGGUGAAAAAAAUAAAGUGCUGCCCUGGGGGAAACAAGGCCUAUACCGCAAAUCGCAUUUUACCUUCCACUCUCUGCACAAAUGACUGGCUAUGCACCUAAUAUAGCACACAUUAAUGUAGCUUAAACUAACACUGUGAGAAGUGCUUUUAGUAUUUAUAGAUUUUAUCUUUGUCAAGUGGUAAUGCUUGGAGAAGGCUAAAUUGAUUAAAAAGCUGGCUAAUUUGCAGUCUGCCACUGGCAGCUUUGAAAAACAAAAGCUUGACUUUAACAUUAUAAAGUUAUUUCUUAAACUUUAAUAUUUCCAUUUUAAAAAUGAGCUAUUUUAAAUGGUUUUAUUUCAAGCUUUUCAGAGAGAUUUAAAGAUGUAGUGCAGAGUCUGACUACAGGUGUUUCCCAAAUUAGAAUGUCGUGGGAAAAGUUCAUGUGAAACUUGUGUAUUCAAUUCACACGUACUGAAGUUGUUUGGAUUUUGGCUCCCAUUUAACAAACCCAUCAAUUCACCAUCUCCACAAAUUAGAAUGUUUCAUACCCCUCCCCCAAAAUGGGUGAAUUGUUGGCCUUCUGGAAAGUGUUAAUUUACUGCACGUGUACUCAAUACUUGGUUGGGGCUCCUUUUUUUGCUUUAAUUACUACCUUGAUUCGGCGUGGCAUGAAGGUGAUCAGUGUGUGGCACUGCUGAGGAAUGGAAGCCCAGGUUUCUUUGACAGUGGCCUUCAUCUCAUCUGCAUUGUUUGGUCUCUUGUUUCCCAUCUUUCUCUUGACAAUACCCCAUAGAUUAUGGGGUAAAGGUCUGGGGAGUUUGCUGGCCAGCCAAGAACACAAACACCAUGGUCACCUAACCAACUUUGAACCGCUCCAAGAUUUCUUGGUAAAUGGGUGCCGUGACUUUAGCUUCCAAUAAAUACAAUGGACUAACACUGUCAGAUGACCUUGCACCCCAAAUCAUUACAUACUGUGGAAACUUAACACUGGACUUCAAGCAACUUGGGCUAUGAGCUUUUCCACACUUCCUCUGGACUGUAGGACCUUCGUUUCCAAAUGAAGAAAAAAUAAAAACUUGCUAUCAUCUGAAAAAAGGAAUUUGGACCAAUGGCAAUAGUUUAUUUCUUCUCCUUAGCCCAGGUAAGAUGCCUCUGUGGUACAGGAGUGCCUUAACAAGAGGAAUAUGACAACUAUAGCCAAAUUCCUUGAGACUUGUGUAUGUGGUGGCUCUUGAUCUCUUGACCCCAGCCUCCAUGCAUUCCUUGUGGAGAUCUCUAAAAUUCUUGAAUCCAGUUUGCUUGACAAUCCUCAUAAGGCUGCGGUUCUCUUGGUUGCUUGUGCAUCUUUUUCUUCCACACGUUCGUUCAACUCAACUUUAACAUGCUUGGAUACAGCACUCUGUGAACAUCUAGCUUAUUGGCAAUUACUUUGAGGUUCCGUCCACACGGAGACGCGUUUCUGUGAAUAUGCACAAAUUUUUUAUCGGAUAGGCGUUUCGUCCACACGGAUCUGGCGUUUUCGCAAGGUGAAACCGCUAUUUUUUUGAAUCCGGGUCCCAGAGUGGAUAAAUUUGAAAACGCUGUCUUUGCGUUUUCAUCUGGACGGCUAAUCCGUAUAUUUUCUGAAACGAUGACAUCAUCAGCCCAUGUCUCCCC